CACCAUGUAAGUCAGCUUUCCCUCUUCCC
Molecule: non-coding RNA, 29 nt
Filed under: Mus musculus (house mouse)
Lineage: Eukaryota; Metazoa; Chordata; Mammalia; Rodentia; Muridae
Source: RNAcentral